GGGAAUGUGGCUUAGUGGUAGAGUGCUUGUCUUACAUACAUGAAGCCCUGGGUUCCAUGCCUCAGUACCA
Molecule: non-coding RNA, 70 nt
Organism: Dipodomys ordii (Ord's kangaroo rat)
Lineage: Eukaryota; Metazoa; Chordata; Mammalia; Rodentia; Heteromyidae
Source: Rfam